UCGAGGAUCUUCGGCAAUGCGCGCAAGCGCGACCGAGCGACGCCGCGUGGGCGAUGAAGGCCUUCGGGUUGUAAAGCCCUGUCGAGGGGGAGAAAAGCGGGAAACCGUGUGAUCUAUCCCUGGAGGAAGCUCGGGCUAAGUUCGUGCCAGCAGCCGCGGUAAGACGAACCGAGCGAACGUUGUUCGGAAUCACUGGGCUUAAAGGGUGCGUAGGCGGGCUGCCAAGUUUGGGGUGAAAUCCUCCGGCUCAACCGGGGAAGUGCCUCGAAUACUGGCGGUCUGGAGGGAGGUAGGGGCGUGCGGAACUAACGGUGGAGCGGUGAAAUGCGUUGAUAUCGUUAGGAACUCCGGUGGCGAAGGCGGCACGCUGGACCUUCACUGACGCUGAGGCACGAAAGCCAGGGGAGCGAACGGGAUUAGAUACCCCGGUAGUCCUGGCCCUAAACGUUGAGAACUAGGUAGCAGGCCGGACAUGGGUUUGCUGCCGGAGCAAAAGUGCUAAGUUCUCCGCCUGGGGAGUA
RNAcentral lists this ribosomal RNA (521 nucleotides) under uncultured Planctomycetota bacterium. RNAcentral describes it as "bacterial SSU rRNA". It matches the Rfam family "Bacterial small subunit ribosomal RNA", at positions 355 to 882 of the family's 1533-position model. Lineage: Bacteria; Pseudomonadati; Planctomycetota. The record is from RNAcentral.